This 496-nucleotide ribosomal RNA is filed under the name uncultured bacterium. RNAcentral describes it as "partial 16S ribosomal RNA". It matches the Rfam family "Bacterial small subunit ribosomal RNA", at positions 29 to 507 of the family's 1533-position model. The record is from RNAcentral.
AUGAACGCUGGCGGCGUGCCUAAUACAUGCAAGUCGAGCGAACGGACGAGAAGCUUGCUUCUCUGAUGUUAGCGGCGGACGGGUGAGUAACACGUGGAUAACCUACCUAUAAGACUGGGAUAACUUCGGGAAACCGGAGCUAAUACCGGAUAAUAUUUUGAACCGCAUGGUUCAAAAGUGAAAGACGGUCUUGCUGUCACUUAUAGAUGGAUCCGCGCUGCAUUAGCUAGUUGGUAAGGUAACGGCUUACCAAGGCAACGAUGCAUAGCCGACCUGAGAGGGUGAUCGGCCACACUGGAACUGAGACACGGUCCAGACUCCUACGGGAGGCAGCAGUAGGGAAUCUUCCGCAAAGGGCGAAAGCCUGACGGAGCAACGCCGCGUGAGUGAUGAAGGUCUUCGGAUCGUAAAACUCUGUUAUUAGGGAAGAACAUAUGUGUAAGUAACUGUGUACAUCUUGACGGUACCUAAUCAGAAAGCCACGGCUAACUACGUG